AGAACGAACGCUGGCGGCAGGCUUAACACAUGCAAGUCGAACGCGUGUAGCAAUACACGAGUGGCGCACGGGUGAGUAACGCGUGGAUAUCUGCCUUUUGGUUCGGAAUAACCCCGGGAAACUGGGGCGUAAUACCGGAUGGUUCCUACGGGAUAAAGAUUUAUCGCCAAAAGAUGAGUCCGCGUCCGAUUAGCUAGUUGGUGGGGUAAUGGCCUACCAAGGCGACGAUCGGUAGCUGGUCUGAGAGGACGAUCAGCCACACUGGGACUGAGACACGGCCCAGACUCCUACGGGAGGCAGCAGUGGGGAAUAUUGGACAAUGGGGGCAACCCUGAUCCAGCCAUGCCGCGUGGAGGAAGACGGCCCGUGGGUUGUAAACUCCUUUUCUUAGAGAAGAACAACUGACGGUAUCUAAGGAAUAAGCAUUGGCUAACUCUGUGCCAGCAGCCGC
Molecule: ribosomal RNA, 451 nt
Filed under: uncultured bacterium
Lineage: Bacteria
Description: SSU rRNA
Rfam family: Bacterial small subunit ribosomal RNA
Source: RNAcentral